Molecule: ribosomal RNA, 254 nt
Filed under: uncultured bacterium
Lineage: Bacteria
Description: partial 16S ribosomal RNA
Rfam family: Bacterial small subunit ribosomal RNA
Source: RNAcentral
AAGCGAGAUGGUGACAUGGAGCAAAUCCCAAAAAUAACGUCCCAGUUCGGAUUGCAGCCUGCAACUCGGCUGCAUGAAGCUGGAAUCGCUAGUAAUCGCGGAUCAGAAUGCCGCGGUGAAUACGUUCCCGGGUCUUGUACACACCGCCCGUCACACCAUGGGAGUAGGUAAUGCCCGAAGUCGGUGACCUAACCGGAAGGAAGGAGCCGCCGAAGGCAGGACUUAUAACUGGGGUGAAGUCGUAACAAGGUACC